This 778-nucleotide ribosomal RNA is filed under the name uncultured bacterium. Its description in RNAcentral is "bacterial SSU rRNA". It matches the Rfam family "Bacterial small subunit ribosomal RNA", at positions 8 to 784 of the family's 1533-position model. The record is from RNAcentral.
AGAGUUUGAUCCUGGCUCAGAAUGAACGCUGGCGGCGUGCCUAACACAUGCAAGUUGAGCGGUAAGGCCCCUUCGGGGGUACACGAGCAGCGAACGGGUGAGUAUCGCGUGGGUAACCUACCCAGAAGUGCGGAAUAGCCUCGGGAAACCGGGGGUAAUACCGCAUAAGGUUUCGACGACAUAAGUCGAUGAGAGCAAAGGCGGGGAUCCUUCGGGACCUGUCGCUUCUGGAUGGGCCCGCGUCCGAUUAGCUAGUUGGUGAGGUGAUGGCUCACCAAGGCUGCGAUCGGUAGCCGGCCUGAGAGGGUGAACGGCCACAUUGGGACUGAGACACGGCCCAGACUCCUACGGGAGGCAGCAGUGGGGAAUCUUGGGCAAUGGGGGAAACCCUGACCCAGCGACGCCGCGUGGAGGAUGACGGCCUUUGGGUUGUAAACUCCUGUCAGGUGGGAAGAAAAGCCUGUCGGCCAAUACCCGGCAGGAAUUGACGGUACCACCAAAGGAAGCCCCGGCUAACUCCGUGCCAGCAGCCGCGGUAAUACGGAGGGGGCAAGCGUUAUUCGGAUUUACUGGGCGUAAAGCGCACGUAGGUGGCAUGGUAAGUCACAGGUGAAAGCCCUCGGCUCAACCGAGGAACUGCCUGUGAACUGCCUUGCUUGAGUCCGGGAGGGGGAGCGUAAUUCCCAGUGAGCGUGAAUGGUAAUACUGGUAGGACCCCGUUGCUAAGCGUUCCUGUCCGGUAUGACCUAAGUGCACGGGGGGUCACAACAAUUAGUUC